Molecule: ribosomal RNA, 234 nt
Filed under: uncultured bacterium
Lineage: Bacteria
Description: partial 16S ribosomal RNA
Rfam family: Bacterial small subunit ribosomal RNA
Source: RNAcentral
ACGGCUGAGUAACGCGUGGGUGACGUACCUGUUGGUGGGGAAUAACUGCCCGAAAGGGUGGCUAAUUCCGCAUAAGUCCUUCGGUUCAUACUGAAGGGGAAAGCUUCGCAAGAGGCGCCGAUGGAGCGGCCCGCGUCCGAUUAGCUUGUUGGUGGGGUAACGGCCUACCAAGGCGACGAUCGGUAGCUGGUCUGAGAGGAUGGUCAGCCACACUGGGACUGAGAUACGGCCCAG